Molecule: ribosomal RNA, 502 nt
Filed under: uncultured bacterium
Lineage: Bacteria
Description: partial 16S ribosomal RNA
Rfam family: Bacterial small subunit ribosomal RNA
Source: RNAcentral
GACGAACGCUGGCGGCGUGCUUAACACAUGCAAGUCGAACGGUGAAGGGGCCUGCUUUUGUGGGCCCUGGAUGAGUGGCGAACGGGUGAGUAACACGUGAGUAACCUGCCCCCUUCUUCUGGAUAACCGCAUGAAAGUGUGGCUAAUACGGGAUAUUCUGGGUCUGUCGCAUGAUGGGUCUGGGAAAGAUUGCGCCUUUGGGUGUUUUUGGUGGGGGAUGGGCUCGCGGCCUAUCAGCUUGUUGGUGGGGUGAUGGCCUACCAAGGCGGUGACGGGUAGCCGGCCUGAGAGGGUGGACGGUCACACUGGGACUGAGACACGGCCCAGACUCCUACGGGAGGCAGCAGUGGGGAAUAUUGCACAAUGGGCGCAAGCCUGAUGCAGCGACGCCGCGUGAGGGAUGGAGGCCUUCGGGUUGUAAACCUCUUUCGCCAGUGAAGCAGGCCUGCUCCUUGUGGGUGGGUUGACGGUAGCUGGAUAAGAAGCGCCGGCUAACAACGUG